UUCCUGGUGGCUCAAUGGUAAAGAAACUGCCUGUCAAUGCAGGAGACACAGGUUCGAGUCCUGAUCUGGGAA
Ovis aries (sheep) is the source of this 72-nucleotide transfer RNA. It matches the Rfam family "tRNA". From Rfam's summary of the family: Transfer RNA (tRNA) molecules are approximately 80 nucleotides in length. Their secondary structure includes four short double-helical elements and three loops (D, anti-codon, and T loops). The record is from Rfam. Lineage: Eukaryota; Metazoa; Chordata; Mammalia; Artiodactyla; Bovidae.